GAUAGUUACGGGCACCGUGACGAAUACCUCACCACGAGCUGCAUUACAAUUGUUACAGAUAAAGAAAAUGUAAACAAAGUGCAAAAGAACAAGUUAUAAAUGUUCAAUUUACGGCCAAAGCGAAAUAAAUUAUAUCGUCUGAAGAGAGCUAUAUACCUGCGAACUAGAAAGAACGGGAAACUGCAUGCGUUCAACUCACAAAUAAGUAACAUCGUAAUAUGGACUGGUAUACUGUUUGUCAUAUUGCUACUGCUAAGGGCCUUAUAUCUUAAUUAUAAAGAUCAGUAUAGCGAAUCGCAAUUAUGUUUCCGGAGAUAGAUGAGAAAAUAAGCAAUAAAUAUUAGACCUCU
RNAcentral lists this unclassified non-coding RNA (350 nucleotides) under Melitaea cinxia (Glanville fritillary). RNAcentral describes it as "misc RNA ENSMCXG00005000616.1". The record is from RNAcentral. Lineage: Eukaryota; Metazoa; Arthropoda; Insecta; Lepidoptera; Nymphalidae.